GUACUUGUACCGACUGGAUGAGCAGCGAACGGGUGAGUAACGCGUGGGGAAUCUGCCUUUGAGCGGGGGACAACAUUUGGAAACGAAUGCUAAUACCGCAUAAAAACUUUAAACACAAGUUUUAAGUUUGAAAGAUGCAAUUGCAUCACUCAAAGAUGAUCCCGCGUUGUAUUAGCUAGUUGGUGAGGUAAAGGCUCACCAAGGCGAUGAUACAUAGCCGACCUGAGAGGGUGAUCGGCCACAUUGGGACUGAGACACGGCCCAAACUCCUACGGGAGGCAGCAGUAGGGAAUCUUCGGCAAUGGACGAAAGUCUGACCGAGCAACGCCGCGUGAGUGAAGAAGGUUUUCGGAUCGUAAAACUCUGUUGGUAGAGAAGAACGUUGGUGAGAGUGUUUUAGCUCAUCAAGUGACGGUAACUACCCAGAAAGGGACGGCUAACUACGUGCCAGCAGCCGCGGUAAUACGUAGGUCCCGAGCGUUGUCCGGAUUUAUUGGGCGUAAAGCGAGCGCAGGUGGUUUAUUAAGUCUGGUGUAAAAGGCAGUGGCUCAACCAUUGUAUGCAUUGGAAACUGGUAGACUUGAGUGCAGGAGAGGAGAGUGGAAUUCCAUGUGUA
RNAcentral lists this ribosomal RNA (616 nucleotides) under Lactococcus sp. RNAcentral's name for it is "bacterial SSU rRNA". It matches the Rfam family "Bacterial small subunit ribosomal RNA", at positions 76 to 677 of the family's 1533-position model. Lineage: Bacteria; Bacillati; Bacillota; Bacilli; Lactobacillales; Streptococcaceae. The record is from RNAcentral.